RNAcentral lists this long non-coding RNA (437 nucleotides) under Oryza sativa Indica Group (long-grained rice). Its description in RNAcentral is "lncRNA OsZS97_05G001520". The record is from RNAcentral. Lineage: Eukaryota; Viridiplantae; Streptophyta; Magnoliopsida; Poales; Poaceae.
CUACCACAUGUUCAUUCUUCUCUCUCUUUCUUCUCUCUUGCUGCUUCACCAGCAUUGUUGGCUAUCUCCACCACACGAAUCAUUGGUGGCCACACAGUGGCAGCGACGGGGGCAAGACGACACGGGGUAGGGGGAGGCACUGGAGCUUGCUAGGAGCCACACGGCGAUGGAGGCGAUGCAGCAACGCCGGCGGGGUUCUAAUGCUAAAGCGAUUGGUCCUAGUCGAGGUCACCUACCUCGUGUCGUUACUUGUCCGAGGGCAGUGCCCGAAGUUGAAGAAGAAGACAGAGGUGUUGGGGGACGGUAGCCCGGAGUUGAAGAAGAAAAUGGAGGUUCAUUGGGCUUGUGCCUACGUCAUUGCUAAACCUUGGGAAGCUUACCAAGGUUACGCUUUCGGAGAACCUGCUUCAGGGGUUUGUGUCGUCCUUCCCGUCUAG